UCGCAUAUCAGAACGAUGCGGUGAAUACGUUCCCGGGCCUUGUACACACCGCCCGUCACACCACGAAAGUUUGUUGUACCCGAAGUCGGUGCCUUAACCUCGCAAGAGGAGAGAGCCGCCCAAGGUAUGGCCGAUGAUUGGGGUGAAGUCGUAACAAGGUAGCCGUAGGGGAACCUGCGGCUGGAUCACCUCCUUUCUAGGAGAGAAGGGUCCUGGAUGAAGCGCUCCUAUUUAGUCUUGUGAAGGAUCCGAGUGGAAGCCGGGACCGGAGAAAGACCGGGCCUGUAGCUCAGAUGGUGAGAGCGCACGCCUGAUAAGCGUGAGGUCGAUAGU
This 333-nucleotide ribosomal RNA is filed under the name uncultured bacterium. RNAcentral's name for it is "partial 16S ribosomal RNA". The stretch from base 1 to 196 matches the Rfam family "Bacterial small subunit ribosomal RNA", at positions 1342 to 1533 of the family's 1533-position model. The record is from RNAcentral.